GGCCUUUUGAUUUUAAUUUAAGGUCGUACCUGCCCAAUGAUAAAUAUUUAAUGGCUGCGGUAUAAUUGACCGUGCAAAGGUAGCAUAAUCAUUAGUUUUUUAAUUGAAAGCUUGUAUGAAAGGUUUGAUGAGAAAAUAUCUGUCUCUAGUUAAAUUUAUUAGAAUUUUAUUUUUAAGUAAGAAAGCUUAAAUAAUUAUUGAAGACGAGAAGACCCUAUAGAGUUUUAUAAUUAUUUUAUAUUUAAUUUUUAGGUUUUAAGUAUUAGCUUUAAGAUAGAUUAUUUAAUUGGGGUGAUAAAAAAAUUAAAUUAACUUUUUUUAUAUAAAAACAUUAAUUUAUGAAUAUUUGAUCCAAUAUUAUUGAUUAAAAGAAUAAAUUACCUUAGGGAUAACAGCGUUAUUUUUUUUUAAAGUUCAAAUUAAAAAAAAAGAUUGCGACCUCGAUGUUGGAUUAAAAUUAAUAAUUGGUGUAGAAGCUAAUUUAUUAGGUCUGUUCGACCUUUAAAAUUUUACAUGAUCUGAGUUUAAACCGGUGUGAG
RNAcentral lists this ribosomal RNA (539 nucleotides) under Cylindrothecus sp. ARC5135. RNAcentral describes it as "partial 16S large subunit ribosomal RNA". It matches the Rfam family "Bacterial large subunit ribosomal RNA", at positions 1819 to 2625 of the family's 2925-position model. The record is from RNAcentral. Lineage: Eukaryota; Metazoa; Arthropoda; Insecta; Coleoptera; Curculionidae.